RNAcentral lists this transfer RNA (52 nucleotides) under Stenella coeruleoalba (striped dolphin). RNAcentral's name for it is "partial tRNA-Pro". The record is from RNAcentral. Lineage: Eukaryota; Metazoa; Chordata; Mammalia; Artiodactyla; Delphinidae.
AAACCUCACCACCAACACCCAAAGCUGGAAUUCUACAUAAACUAUUCCUUUG